Molecule: transfer RNA, 74 nt
Filed under: Blastobotrys adeninivorans
Lineage: Eukaryota; Fungi; Ascomycota; Dipodascomycetes; Dipodascales; Trichomonascaceae
Description: tRNA Ile (AAT) score
Rfam family: tRNA
About the family: Transfer RNA (tRNA) molecules are approximately 80 nucleotides in length. Their secondary structure includes four short double-helical elements and three loops (D, anti-codon, and T loops). Further hydrogen bonds mediate the characteristic L-shaped molecular structure. tRNAs have two regions of fundamental functional importance: the anti-codon, which is responsible for specific mRNA codon recognition, and the 3' end, to which the tRNAs corresponding amino acid is attached (by aminoacyl-tRNA synthetases). tRNAs cope with the degeneracy of the genetic code in two manners: having more than one tRNA (with a specific anti-codon) for a particular amino acid; and 'wobble' base-pairing, i.e. permitting non-standard base-pairing at the 3rd anti-codon position.
Source: RNAcentral
GGUCUCGUGGCCCAGUUGGUUAAGGCAUCGUGCUAAUAACGCGAGGAUCGGCGGUUCGAUCCCGUCCGAGACCA